RNAcentral lists this ribosomal RNA (1530 nucleotides) under Escherichia coli 2362-75. RNAcentral describes it as "16S ribosomal RNA". Lineage: Bacteria; Pseudomonadati; Pseudomonadota; Gammaproteobacteria; Enterobacterales; Enterobacteriaceae. The record is from RNAcentral.
AGGUGAUCCAACCGCAGGUUCCCCUACGGUUACCUUGUUACGACUUCACCCCAGUCAUGAAUCACAAAGUGGUAAGCGCCCUCCCGAAGGUUAAGCUACCUACUUCUUUUGCAACCCACUCCCAUGGUGUGACGGGCGGUGUGUACAAGGCCCGGGAACGUAUUCACCGUGGCAUUCUGAUCCACGAUUACUAGCGAUUCCGACUUCAUGGAGUCGAGUUGCAGACUCCAAUCCGGACUACGACGCACUUUAUGAGGUCCGCUUGCUCUCGCGAGGUCGCUUCUCUUUGUAUGCGCCAUUGUAGCACGUGUGUAGCCCUGGUCGUAAGGGCCAUGAUGACUUGACGUCAUCCCCACCUUCCUCCAGUUUAUCACUGGCAGUCUCCUUUGAGUUCCCGGCCGGACCGCUGGCAACAAAGGAUAAGGGUUGCGCUCGUUGCGGGACUUAACCCAACAUUUCACAACACGAGCUGACGACAGCCAUGCAGCACCUGUCUCACGGUUCCCGAAGGCACAUUCUCAUCUCUGAAAACUUCCGUGGAUGUCAAGACCAGGUAAGGUUCUUCGCGUUGCAUCGAAUUAAACCACAUGCUCCACCGCUUGUGCGGGCCCCCGUCAAUUCAUUUGAGUUUUAACCUUGCGGCCGUACUCCCCAGGCGGUCGACUUAACGCGUUAGCUCCGGAAGCCACGCCUCAAGGGCACAACCUCCAAGUCGACAUCGUUUACGGCGUGGACUACCAGGGUAUCUAAUCCUGUUUGCUCCCCACGCUUUCGCACCUGAGCGUCAGUCUUCGUCCAGGGGGCCGCCUUCGCCACCGGUAUUCCUCCAGAUCUCUACGCAUUUCACCGCUACACCUGGAAUUCUACCCCCCUCUACGAGACUCAAGCUUGCCAGUAUCAGAUGCAGUUCCCAGGUUGAGCCCGGGGAUUUCACAUCUGACUUAACAAACCGCCUGCGUGCGCUUUACGCCCAGUAAUUCCGAUUAACGCUUGCACCCUCCGUAUUACCGCGGCUGCUGGCACGGAGUUAGCCGGUGCUUCUUCUGCGGGUAACGUCAAUGAGCAAAGGUAUUAACUUUACUCCCUUCCUCCCCGCUGAAAGUACUUUACAACCCGAAGGCCUUCUUCAUACACGCGGCAUGGCUGCAUCAGGCUUGCGCCCAUUGUGCAAUAUUCCCCACUGCUGCCUCCCGUAGGAGUCUGGACCGUGUCUCAGUUCCAGUGUGGCUGGUCAUCCUCUCAGACCAGCUAGGGAUCGUCGCCUAGGUGAGCCGUUACCCCACCUACUAGCUAAUCCCAUCUGGGCACAUCCGAUGGCAAGAGGCCCUAAGGUCCCCCUCUUUGGUCUUGCGACGUUAUGCGGUAUUAGCUACCGUUUCCAGUAGUUAUCCCCCUCCAUCGGGCAGUUUCCCAGACAUUACUCACCCGUCCGCCACUCGUCAGCAAAGCAGCAAGCUGCUUCCUGUUACCGUUCGACUUGCAUGUGUUAGGCCUGCCGCCAGCGUUCAAUCUGAGCCAUGAUCAAACUCU